CGCGCCGUAAACGAUGAAUACUAGGUGUGGGGGGACUGACCCCUUCCGUGCCGGAGCAAACGCAAUAAGUAUUCCACCUGGGGACUACGGUCGCAAGACUAAAACUCAAAGGAAUUGACGGGGGCCCGCACAAGCAGUGGAUUAUGUGGUUUAAUUCGAAGCAACGCGAAGAACCUUACCGGGGUUUGACAUCCGACUAACGAAGCAGAGAUGCAUUAGGUGCCCUUCGGGGAAAGUCGAGACAGGUGG
Molecule: ribosomal RNA, 249 nt
Filed under: uncultured Sporobacter sp.
Lineage: Bacteria; Bacillati; Bacillota; Clostridia; Eubacteriales; Oscillospiraceae
Description: partial 16S ribosomal RNA
Rfam family: Bacterial small subunit ribosomal RNA
Source: RNAcentral